GCCGGAGUGGCGAAAUCGGCAGACGCAGGGGACUUAAAAUCCCCAGUCCCGCAAGGGGCGUGCGGGUUCGAUUCCCGCCUCCGGCA
RNAcentral lists this transfer RNA (86 nucleotides) under Acidobacteriota bacterium. RNAcentral describes it as "Acidobacteria bacterium (bioreactor metagenome) tRNA-Leu". It matches the Rfam family "tRNA". From Rfam's summary of the family: Transfer RNA (tRNA) molecules are approximately 80 nucleotides in length. Their secondary structure includes four short double-helical elements and three loops (D, anti-codon, and T loops). The record is from RNAcentral. Lineage: Bacteria; Pseudomonadati; Acidobacteriota.